This 363-nucleotide ribosomal RNA is filed under the name uncultured bacterium. RNAcentral describes it as "bacterial SSU rRNA". It matches the Rfam family "Bacterial small subunit ribosomal RNA", at positions 434 to 793 of the family's 1533-position model. The record is from RNAcentral.
CAGCAGUGAGGAAGUGGGUAUGUUAAUAGCAUAUUCAUUUGACGUUUAGCUGCAGAAGAAGCACCGGCUAACUCCGUGCCAGCAGCCGCGGUAAUACGGAGGGUGCGAGCGUUAAUCGGAAUUACUGGGCGUAAAGCGCAUGCAGGUGGUUUGUUAAGUCAGAUGUGAAAGCCCGGGGCUCAACCUCGGAAUUGCAUUUGAAACUGGCAAACUAGAGUACUGUAGAGGGGGUAGAAUUUCAGGUGUAGCGGUGAAAUGCGUAGAGAUCUGAAGGAAUACCGGUGGCGAAGGCGGCCCCCUGGACAGAUACUGACACUCAGAUGCGAAAGCGUGGGGAGCAAACAGGAUUAGAUACCCUGGUAG